GUUCCGAUUCUGGCUCAGAUUGAACGCUGGCGGGAUGCUUUACACAUGCAAGUCGAACGGCAGCACGGACUUCGGUCUGGUGGCGAGUGGCGAACGAGGUGAGUAAUGUAUCGGAACGUGCCUAGUAGCGGGGGAUAACUACGCAGCGUAGCUAAUACCGCAUGCGCCCUUCCGGGGAAAGCAGGGGACCUUCGGGCCUGCUAUUAGGCAAGCCGAUAUCGGAUUAGCUAGUUGGUGGGGCAACAGCUCACCGGGCGACGAUCGUAGCUGGUUUAGGGGGACGACCAGCCACUGGGACUGAGACACGGCCCAGACUCCUACGGGAAGCAGCAGUGGGGAAUUUUGGACAAUGGGGGAAACCCUGAUCCAGCCAUCGCAGCAGCGAGGCCACCGGGUUGUAAAGCAACACGGCGGAAAAACGGCAUGGAUAAUACCCGAUGCAACGUGUCGAUACUCUGCAGAAUAAACACCCGGCUCUUCGUGCCAGCAAUAUGAUGUUACGUAGGUUUGCCAGCAGUAAUCAGAAUUGCUGGGUGAUGGUAGGAAGGAGGAGGGCAGGAGAGCAGGUAUCAUGUGCGCGGUGGUUCGGAAGAGAUGCCAGCAUCCAGACUUACUAACUUUGGAACUGCAUUUUUAACUACCGAGCUAGAGUGUGUCAGAGGAGGUGAAUUCCGCGUGUAGCAGUGAAAUGCGUAGAUAUGCGGAGGAACACCGAUAGCGAAGGCAGCCUCCUGGGAUAACACUGACGCUCAUGCACAAGCGCCAACCGGGGAGCAAACAGGAUUAGAUACCCUGGUAGUCCACGCCCUAAACGAUGUCAACUAGCUGUUGGGGCCUUCGGGCCUUGGUAGCGCAGCUAACGCGUGAAGUUGACCGCCCAGGGUACGGUCGCAAGAUUAAAACUCAAAGAGAUUGACGGGGAUACGCACAAGCGGUGGAUGAUGUGGAUUUAAUUGGUACAACUUGCGAAAAACCUUACUACCCUUGACAUGUCUGGAAUCCCGAAGAGAUUUGGGAGUGCUCGCAAGAGAACCGGAACACAGGUGCUGCAUGGCUGUCGUCAGCUCGUGUCGUGAGAUGUUGGGUUAAGUCCCUGCCGAGCGCAGCCCUUGUCAUUAGUUGCUACGAAGGGCACUCUAAUGAGACUGCCGGUGACAAACCGGAGGAAGGUGGGGAUGACGUCAAGUCCUCACGUACCUCCAUGGGUGGGAGCUUCACACGUCAUACAAUGGUCGGGACAGAGGGUCGCCAACCCGCGAGGAGGCCAAUCCCAGAAACCCGAUCGUAGUCCGGAUCGCAGUCUACAACUCGACUGCGUGAAGUCAGGAAUCGCUAGUAAUCGCGGAUCAGCAUGUCGCAGUGGGCUACGUUCCCGGGUCUUGUACACACCGCCCGUCACACCAUGGGAGUGGGUUUUACCAGAAGUAGUUAGCUAACCGUAAGGAGGGCGAUUACCACGGUAGGAUUCAUGACUGGGGUGAAGUCGUAACAAGGUAG
This 1497-nucleotide ribosomal RNA is filed under the name uncultured Bordetella sp. RNAcentral's name for it is "partial 16S-23S ribosomal RNA intergenic spacer". It matches the Rfam family "Bacterial small subunit ribosomal RNA". The record is from RNAcentral. Lineage: Bacteria; Pseudomonadati; Pseudomonadota; Betaproteobacteria; Burkholderiales; Alcaligenaceae.